Molecule: ribosomal RNA, 107 nt
Filed under: Acanthosepion pharaonis
Lineage: Eukaryota; Metazoa; Mollusca; Cephalopoda; Sepiida; Sepiidae
Source: RNAcentral
ACAGCCACAUCACAUUGAAACACUGGUUCCUGAAUGAUCACCAAAGUUAAGCAAUGUUGAUCAUGGUCAGUACCUAGAUUGGUGACCACUUGGGAAUACCAGGUGCU